Molecule: ribosomal RNA, 490 nt
Filed under: uncultured bacterium
Lineage: Bacteria
Description: partial 16S ribosomal RNA
Rfam family: Bacterial small subunit ribosomal RNA
Source: RNAcentral
AGUGAACGCUGGCGGCAGGCCUAACACAUGCAAGUCGAACGGCAGCACAAGAGAGCUUGCUCUCUGGGUGGCGAGUGGCGGACGGGUGAGGAAUGCAUCGGAAUCUGCCCAUUUGUGGGGGAUAACCUCGGGAAACCGGGACUAAUACCGCAUACGACCUACGGGUGAAAGCAGGGGAUCUUCGGACCUUGCGCAGAUGGAUGAGCCGAUGCCGGAUUAGCUAGUUGGAGGGGUAAAGGCCCACCAAGGCGGCGAUCCGUAGCUGGUCUGAGAGGAUGAUCGGCCAACCUGGGACUGAGGCACGGCCCAGACUCCUACGGGAGGCAGCAGUGGGGAAUAUUAGACAAAGGGCGCAAGCCUGAUCCAGCCAUGCCGCGUGUGGGAAGAAGGCCUUCGGGUUUUAAAGCACUUUUGUUUGGAAAGAAAAACAACCGGGUAAUACCCCGUUGUCAUGACGGUACCCAAAGAAUAAGCACCGGCUAACUUCGUG